ACUCAAAUGAAUUGACGGGGGCCCGCACAAGCGGCGGAGCAUGCGGAUUAAUUCGAUGCAACGCGAAGAACCUUACCAAGGCUUGACAUAUACGAGAACGCACUGGAGACAGUGAACUCUUUGGACACUCGUAUACAGGUGGUGCAUGGUUGUCGUCAGCUCGUGUCGUGAGAUGUUGGGUUAAGUCCCGCAACGAGCGCAACCCUCGUCCUAUGUUGCCAGCACGUAAUGGUGGGAACUCAUGGGAUACUGCCGGGGUCAACUCGGAGGAAGGUGGGGAUGAGGUCAAAUCAUCAUGCCCCUUAUGUCUUGGGCUUCACGCAUGCUACAAUGGCCGGUACAAUGGGCUGCGAUACCGCAAGGUGGAGCGAAUCCCAAAAAGCCGGUCUCAGUUCGGAUUGAGGUCUGCAACUCGACCUCAUGAAGUCGGAGUCGCUAGUAAUCGCAGAUCAGCAACGCUGCGGUGAAUACGUUCCCGGGCCUUGUACACACCGCCCGU
Molecule: ribosomal RNA, 499 nt
Filed under: uncultured bacterium
Lineage: Bacteria
Description: partial 16S ribosomal RNA
Rfam family: Bacterial small subunit ribosomal RNA
Source: RNAcentral